Long non-coding RNA from Antechinus flavipes (yellow-footed antechinus), 1141 nucleotides. RefSeq lists it as uncharacterized. NCBI's taxonomy places the organism in Eukaryota, Metazoa, Chordata, Mammalia, Dasyuromorphia, Dasyuridae. The record is from RefSeq and is a predicted model, not a curated record. The transcript is spliced from 3 exons.
AGAGAGGGGAAAGAGGGAAGGGAAAGAAGGGAGGGAAGGGGAAAGGACUCUGCCAGCACCACAGGAUUUAGUUCCCAAGUCAGAGGAAGGAAUUGAAAGAGAUUGGCCAGAGCUCAGGGAAAAGAAACCCUUCUAGUUUUUCCUCAUUCAAUAAUACUGUAUUUGUUGCCAGAGUAAUUCCCUAAAACAUCUCUCACAGGUUUCCCUGCUCAAUGCCCAAUUUAUCUGGUCUUCUUUUUUAAAUAUGAUAAGAGUGAAAAACACUAAAUUCACUCAGACUUGGGUUUUCAGUUUUCUAUCUAACCCACACUAUAAUUAGCUUUUUUACUGUAGACAAUUUGCUUAAUUUCAUGUCUCUUCUCUAAAGCAUUUUGCAAACCUUAAAGAACUAUAAAAUGUACUCAUCACUAGAUCCCACUGAAAUUGUUUACAAUCUCUCCUCCUGUUAACAAUCCUUCCAUACCAGGCCCAGUCUUCAUGGUUCCCUGCAGAGGUCAUAUUCAUUGCUACUUUGGCUCCUGCGACAUCUUUGUCUGGAUGAUUAUAUCUCAGUUUCAUCUAUGAAAAGCUACCACCCUUUGAAGGCCUAGAUCAAAGUCUCACUGCUUGUAUAGGACCAGCAUUCUUUUCUACAUAAUAGGGCAUAUGGUAUGAGACCACCAACUUUCACCCUUAACUCUACCAGGAAUUGGCCAAGAUUCCUCACCUCAGCAAGACUGGUCAUCUAGAGCUCCCCACAAAAUGACUGAAUGCACCAGCUUCUUCUCAGCUCUAGCUCUGUCAAAAGCUUUGGUGAAAGUUGGAUCAACUUUCCUUCAAGUCCAAAGGCAUCGUUCCAUCAUAUCUAUCUCCAGGAAUCUUUGCUGCUCACCUCAAGUAUCAUCUCUUCUGUGGCAUCUUCCCCAGACCCAUCAGUAGUCAAUAUUCCCUCCCCUCUCAAAUGAUCUGUAUUUACUUAUUUGUGAAUAAUUUACAUCUUCCAAUGCAACAUUAGCUUCUUGAAGGCAAGGACUGCUUCGUUUUUGUCUCUGGAUCUCCAGUACCUAGCCCAAAGCCUUCCACAUAGUAGGCACUCAAAAAGUAGGCUGAAUUGAAUUGAACCCUAAGAACCUCAACUCCUCACACUCAAUCUCUUCCUAUA